GAUGAACGCUGGCGGCGUGCCUAAUACAUGCAAGUCGAGCGAACGGACGAGAAGCUUGCUUCUCUGAUGUUAGCGGCGGACGGGUGAGUAACACGUGGAUAACCUACCUAUAAGACUGGGAUAACUUCGGGAAACCGUAGCUAAUACCGGAUAAUAUUUUGAACUGCAUGGUUCUAAAGUGAAAGACGGUCUUGCUGUCACUUAUAGAUGGAUCCGCGCUGCAUUAGCUAGUUGGUAAGGUAACGGCUUACCAAGUCAACGAUGAAUAGCCGAACUGAGAGGGUGAUGCGCCACAGUGGAGCUGAGCCGCGGCCCAGACUCUUAGGGAAGGCAGAGGUGGGGAAUGUUGCCAAAUGGGGGAAAGCCUGAACGAGCAACGCCGCGUGGGUGCUGAAGGUCUUCGGACCGUAAAACUCUGUUAUUGGGGAAAAACAUAUGUGCAAGUAACUGUGCUCAUUUUGACGGUACCUAAUAAGAAAGCCACGGCUAACUACGUG
This 497-nucleotide ribosomal RNA is filed under the name uncultured bacterium. RNAcentral's name for it is "partial 16S ribosomal RNA". It matches the Rfam family "Bacterial small subunit ribosomal RNA", at positions 28 to 507 of the family's 1533-position model. The record is from RNAcentral.